RNAcentral lists this ribosomal RNA (471 nucleotides) under uncultured organism. Its description in RNAcentral is "partial 16S ribosomal RNA". It matches the Rfam family "Bacterial small subunit ribosomal RNA", at positions 333 to 796 of the family's 1533-position model. The record is from RNAcentral.
ACACUCCUGCGGGAGGCAGCAGUGGGGAAUUUUGGACAAUGGGCGAAAGCCUGAUCCAGCCAUGCCGCGUGCAGGAUGAAGGCCUUCGGGUUGUAAACUGCUUUUGUACGGAACGAAACGGCCUUUUCUAAUAAAGAGGGCUAAUGACGGUACCGUAAGAAUAAGCACCGGCUAACUACGUGCCAGCAGCCGCGGUAAUAAGUAGGGUGCAAGCGUUAAUCGGAAUUACUGGGCGUAAAGCGUGCGCAGGCGGUUAUGUAAGACAGUUGUGAAAUCCCCGGGCUCAACCUGGGAACUGCAUCUGUGACUGCAUAGCUAGAGUACGGUAGAGGGGGAUGGAAUUCCGCGUGUAGCAGUGAAAUGCGUAGAUAUGCGGAGGAACACCGAUGGCGAAGGCAAUCCCCUGGACCUGUACUGACGCUCAUGCACGAAAGCGUGGGGAGCAAACAGGAUUAGAAACCCUAGUAGUCC